CAGUCGCCGCGGGAAUACGUAGGGUGCAAGCGUUGUCCGGAAUCAUUGGGCGUAAAGCGCGCGUAGGUGGCCAUUUAAGUCCGCUGUGAAAGUCAAAGGCUCAACCUUUGAAAGCCGGUGGAUACUGGAUGGCUAGAGUACGGAAGAGGCGAGUGGAAUUCCUGGUGUAGCGGUGGAAUGCGCAGAUAUCAGGAGGAACACCAAUAGCGAAGGCAGCUCGCUGGGACGUUACUGACACUGAGGCGCGAAAGCGUGGGGAGCGAACAGGAUUAGAUACCCGAGUAGUCCCUGUCUCUUAUAC
Molecule: ribosomal RNA, 301 nt
Filed under: uncultured bacterium
Lineage: Bacteria
Description: partial 16S ribosomal RNA
Rfam family: Bacterial small subunit ribosomal RNA
Source: RNAcentral